GAGUUUGAUCCUGGCUCAGAACGAACGCUGGCGGCAGGCCUAACACAUGCAAGUCGAACGCCCCGCAAGGGGAGUGGCGCACGGGUGAGUAACGCGUGGGAAUGUGCCCUUGGGUGCGGAACAACAUCGGGAAACUGAUGCUAAUACCGCAUAAUGACUACGGUCCAAAGAUUUAUCGCCCAAGGAUCAGCCCGCGUAAGAUUAGGUAGUUGGUGGGGUAAUGGCCUACCAAGCCGACGAUCUUUAGCUGGUCUUAGAGGAUGAUCAGCCACACUGGGACUGAGACACGGCCCAGACUCCUACGGGAGGCAGCAGUGAGGAAUCUUGGACAAUGGGCGAAAGCCUGAUCCAGCCAUGCCGCGUGAGUGAUGAAGGCCUUCGGGUUGUAAAGCUCUUGAAGCCGAUGCUCAGAUAUCCUCACACUGCGGCCGCUCGACAUCAUCGUGAGGGCCUGCCGUCGCUCAGUGAUGUCGCU
Molecule: ribosomal RNA, 475 nt
Filed under: uncultured soil bacterium
Lineage: Bacteria
Description: bacterial SSU rRNA
Rfam family: Bacterial small subunit ribosomal RNA
Source: RNAcentral